This 773-nucleotide ribosomal RNA is filed under the name uncultured Neocallimastigales. Its description in RNAcentral is "partial large subunit ribosomal RNA". It matches the Rfam family "Eukaryotic large subunit ribosomal RNA", at positions 23 to 616 of the family's 3401-position model. The record is from RNAcentral. Lineage: Eukaryota; Fungi; Neocallimastigomycota; Neocallimastigomycetes; Neocallimastigales.
AGAGAGAGACAUGCGCGCAUAUCAAUAAGCGGAGGAAAAGAAACUAACAAGGAUUCCCCUAGUAACGGCGAGUGAGGCGGGAAGAGCUCAAAUUUGAAAUCUUAAAGGGUUUCCCUUUACGAAUUGUAGUUUAAAGAAGUGUUUUCUGUUGAGGUUUUGGUAAAAGUUCUUUGGAAUAGGACAUCAUAGAGGGUGAGAAUCCCGUAUUUGACCUUUACUUUCAACUUUGUGGUACACUUUCAAAGAGUCGGAUUGUUUGGGAAUGCAGUCCAAAAUGGGUGGUAAAUUUCAUCUAAAGCUAAAUAUUGGCGAGAGACCGAUAGCGAACAAGUACCGUGAGGGAAAGAUGAAAAGAACUUUGAAAAGAGAGUUAAACAGUACGUGAAAUUGUCAAAAGGGAAGCGUUUGACACCAGUGUUGUUUUUCUGAAAAUCAAUUAAAGAACUGUUUAUGCUAAGUUGUUUAGACUUUAUCAGCUAACUGUUUAGUUUUGAGCUUUUCUUUAAUGCACUUUUCAGUUAACAAGUCAACAUCAAUUUCUUUUGCUGUAAAAAAGCUUGAGGAAGGUGGCUUGAGAUUCGUCUUAAGUGUUUAUAGCCUCUUGCCUAUGCAGUCGGAGAGAUUGAGGUCUGCAGCGUAGAUCCUUCGGGGCUAAAUGCAUUUGUGCUAAGUUAUAGCAUUUUAUAGACAACUUGUUGACUAUGAUUUGUCUUGUAGCUUACUCGCUUAUGUAUUUUACCUACGCUUAGGAUGUUGAGCGCAUGUCUCUCUCU